Molecule: ribosomal RNA, 29 nt
Filed under: Metrosideros excelsa (New Zealand Christmas tree)
Lineage: Eukaryota; Viridiplantae; Streptophyta; Magnoliopsida; Myrtales; Myrtaceae
Description: partial 28S ribosomal RNA
Source: RNAcentral
ACGCGACCCCAGGUCAAGCGGGGCUACCC